GAGAUAUUUCUAGAUUAGUGUAGGUGAUAAAAAUAUCUAGAUAUUUUGUAAGAAAAGUGUGGAGUAUUCUAGAAGACGAAUCUCCACCGUAGGAUUAAACAGAUCAUGACCGUCCAUUGAGGAGGUGGAAAGCCUAUAUAUACCCACCCCCUCCUCCACAUUUGUAUCAUCCAAAAAAAAUCCAAGUCUUCUUGAGUUAAUAAAGUAUUCUCCAAGUUAUUCAAGUAAGUCUUCCACUUUCUUAGUUCUAGUAUUUUUGGAGCUAUAUUUUCUUCUUCGUUCUUCUUCAAUUGUGGUUGUGAGUCUUGG
Molecule: long non-coding RNA, 309 nt
Filed under: Nicotiana benthamiana
Lineage: Eukaryota; Viridiplantae; Streptophyta; Magnoliopsida; Solanales; Solanaceae
Description: long non-coding RNA (NBEN_LNC003298)
Source: RNAcentral